ACAUAACGACAGGGGAGCGCCGCCGUCGGACCUGGCAAGGCCGGGAACCGCAGGUGGGCGCUGAGAGUGCGGACAGCCGCAGACCCUCGAACCUGAUCCGGUUAGUACCGGCGCAAGGGAGUCGAGUUCUCGAAGUC
RNAcentral lists this non-coding RNA (137 nucleotides) under Arthrobacter nitrophenolicus. RNAcentral describes it as "TPP sequence". It matches the Rfam family "TPP riboswitch aptamer (THI element)". From Rfam's summary of the family: Vitamin B(1) in its active form thiamin pyrophosphate (TPP) is an essential coenzyme that is synthesised by coupling of pyrimidine and thiazole moieties in bacteria. Lineage: Bacteria; Bacillati; Actinomycetota; Actinomycetes; Micrococcales; Micrococcaceae. The record is from Rfam by way of RNAcentral.